This is a long non-coding RNA of Vicia villosa (hairy vetch), 6877 nucleotides long. RefSeq lists it as uncharacterized. The record is from RefSeq and is a predicted model, not a curated record. Lineage: Eukaryota; Viridiplantae; Streptophyta; Magnoliopsida; Fabales; Fabaceae. The transcript has 6 exons.
CUCAGUUCUUAAUAACUGCAAAUUAGUUCUUAAUAAUUUUUAUUCACUCCUUCUCCAUAUGUACUCAGGUUCUGUAGUAAAUAGUGCCAAUGUAGUUUGUAACAUCGAUCAUCACCAAAAUGGUGCACUGUAUAUUUUAAAUACAUAACUAGCAGUAGAUCUACAUCUAUCCAAAUCACCACCGUGAUCAGAAUUAAUAAAACCAUUUUGUUGACAUGUAUCUCCACCAAAGCUCAAACACGUGUCAACGGUAUACGAAUUGUUUAGGUCAAACAGUAUCCAUUUCUUUUUUCAAGUUGCAAUUGAUGAAUGAAAUGGAUAGAAACUAUACUUGAUAGGUAAUUAGGUUUACGACAGGUUCUUGAGAUUGUGUGUUUAUGACAGGUUCUUGAGAUUUUGAGUCAUGUGAACAAGAGUGAAGCUUCAGUUUGAUAUUGGUUUGCCUUUGAUGGAGUUGAGGAAAUUGUAUUCUAAACCUGGUGCUGCUCCGAUAAUAAGGAAUUUCAUUCAUUUUAGGUACUCCAAGUUACAUGACAAACAGAGAACACGAAUAAAAUGGAGGAGGGUGAAAAGGAUCAUGAUGAAAUGGAGGAGCGUGAAGAGGAUGAUGAGCAUGCUGGUGGUUUUUUAAUCUUACCGUUAUAGCCCUGAGAACACAAAUAGUGCUCCUGUGAGGUAUAAAUGAAUCGUCCACCAGCACGAAUUAAUGUUGUCGUUAUAAUCAGAUUCCGUUGACUUGGAGGUUUGCUAAUUACUCGUGGUGUAGCUCUAUCAUUUCUUUAAUGUUCCCGAUUCUGGUAUGUUUGCAGAGAUGGAGCUUGACAUUGCAGUUGUUUUUACCGCACCCUAGUUACCGGGUAGAUACAUAUUAUACUGGAGGAUGCAUCUCUCUCGGGACAUAAAUUUGGCCAACGAGUUUGGGUCCUUAUACAGAUGAUCAUGAGUCUGGUGCAGCAGGUCUGGUAUGGACUUGUGUGGAUAUUAGAUGAUGCCAUGGCUGGACUGUUUUAUUAUGCAUGUAGCUUGAUGUAGGCCUAGUACAUGUUUAUGGCUGCUCAUGUGGUUGAAAGCCCGAUUCUCAUGUAUGGUGUAUCCGUUCCCUCUAUUCUUCUUCUCUGAUCCACUUUCGUAGACAUAUCUUGAAUUUGCACUGUAAGAUUGUAUUUCUGUUAUGAACUUAUGGAUCUUUCAUUCAUUUGUUUUUACUUUUCUGACAUUUUCAUGUUCAUGACCUGAUUUUUCAUGUUCAUUUUCUUUGUUCAUGACCCGUUCUGUUUUGCUGCUGUUUCCUAUGUCUUUUUUUGCAUUUCUAAACCGAAACUUGUACUGGUGAACAUGGUGUUGCAGAAACUAAAGAUGUUCAGCAUAGUGACUUUGAUUUGAAAAUUGCAUGUUUCAUUUGUAAUUAUAAAGAAACUAAAGAUUUUCAAUGAUAGUCAUAUAAUUAUAAUUUCAAUAUUUGUAAAUUGACAAGAUUUUCAUAAUGUAUUGAUAACUGUAUGUCCUGUGAUUAUGUAUUGAUCCAGCACUUCCUACCAGGUAAGUCAAUGUGACAGUGAUUAAUGGCUUUUGCAUUCCCUUAUAAUUUAUUUGUAUUCAUAACGCAUCGCUAACACUUGAGUUCAGUUCUGUCGACGUGAAUUCCACCUUAGAUCUUGCAGAAGAAACUCCAAAUAAAACCACAAGAACCGUAGUUUUUACGCCUACAGUUAAUCUGGAUUUUGUAAGUGAUGAUGAUGAUGAUUGAUGACAACUCAGACUACGACCCUUUCUUAGGCCUAGUACGAUGAAUCUGGUCAUUCAAUUGUACACAAGAAAUGCUUUUAGAUUGUCGCAAAGUGUAAUAAAGAGAAGUUCCUGGAUAUCUGCGAUGUGUUUGACAUACAAGUUGCAAAGGCAAAUACAAGAAAGGAAGAUAUUAUUGCAAAGCUAAUAAACUUUUUGGUUGCCCCUCAUGUGUCAAGGACUGUAUGCUUGAAGAACAAGAAAAGGUUUAUAAUACUUAACCUUUUCUUUUCAACCUUUUCCAACUAGCGUGUUAUUUUACUCUGCUUUGACACAAGACGAGUGUUUCUGGUGCAACUAUUCAUAUUUAUGCUUUUAUGCAUAGCAAUAUAGGAUGACCAUUGGUUAUUAUUAAUUUUGUGGCCAUCCGAUGGAUGACAUCCAUUUCCGUCCGGUUGUGAGAAUGGGUACUUCGGAUUUCGGAUGUUUCGGAUGGCGGGUUAAUCGGUUGGGUAGCAGCGGUUUACACUAUUAACACAUAUUUUUCUUGGACCAUAAAAUCGACAUUCUAGAACAAGAAAUAUCAAUGUUUAGCCAUUACACAGAAAAUAAAGAAACAUUUAACAAAGAAGAAGAAAUAAACAUUUAGAAAUACAAAAAUCUGAGUUGAAGUGGAACAGAGUAGAGUUUGGAGGUGACUCUGAUUUUUCAUAAUCCAUUGUCAUAGUGCAUCAUGUUGUGCAUGAUAGCUUAUUCAACUGAGUUUAAGGAUUAGAGAUUGAUAUUGAUUUAUCACUUCCAAACUUUGAAUGCAGCCCAUGAUAUUUAAAACUCUUAAUAUUCCUUCAACCUUCUCCGAUCUAGUAUUUUGAAUGGAUGAAUAUAAAGGAGUUAGAAAGAAAAUUGGAUAAAUAGAAAGGAGUUAGAAAGAAAAGUCGUAAUGAGUUCUAUUAAAAUAGAAUAAAAAAAAACAUAAAUAAUGGCAAACAAACUACUAUUCAUAAAAGAAGACUGCUUUGUGUGGUUGUAAAAAGCAUCGAGAAUUGAAAUUGAGAUAGAUGUAGUCUACAAGCUUUAUGAAUUCUGAAAUAAUGCAGUAGCAUAGCAUAUUGUAAUGGUAUUUAACUGAUAAACUCAGUGUGGGCGGGUGUGGAUUUCGUUAUGGUUGAAAAUUUCAAACCGCAGCCGUCUGAUUCAAUCCACACGAAAUUGGUUUUCUUAAUAUAUUAAACCGUAUACCCAAUCCGACCCACCCGUUAGCAGACACUUUUAUUCGAAUUAUUCGGUUUCGGGUGGAUCCGGAUUUUUUGUCCACCCCUAUCUUGCAGGAGAAGCUUUUGGAAGUCAGGCCGGACAAGAUUGUUCCAUUAUAGUAAAAUUGUAGAAAGUAAUGUGAUUUUUGUUUCUGAACUACAAUUUGCCUUUUUGUCGGGGUGGCUAUAAAGAAGGAAAAGAAGAUAUGGAACCUGGAUUAUGACAUGGAGGACUGGUAAUUAUUCGAUCAGUUGUUUAUGCACUCAAAGUAUUAAGCACUCAUUAAUCUCAAAAUUACAAUUACUCAUUCUUGAGAAGGGCUUCUCCAAUUACUUUCAAUUAUGGGUGCGGCUUCAUAAUCACUUUCAUCACAGUUGCACUUUGAAUGAAAAUCUUCUUGAUCUCCUCACCAUCUUCAGCCGUCCCUUUCUUGCCUUUCAUCCAAUUUUGAGUUAACAAAAAGAGCUUCUUAAUGUUAUUCCGAACCUCAUCAUCGCCCUCUUGAGAUUCUUAAAAUGUUGAAUCCCAAGAGGGCGUUGAUGAGGUUCAGAGUAAUAUUAAGAAGUUUUUUUGCUAACUCAAAAUUGGAUAAAAGGCAAGAAGGGGACUGCUGAAAAUGGUGAGGAGAUCAAGAAGAUCCUCUUUUAAAAUGCAUUGUGAUGAAAGUGAUUAUCAAGCAGCACUCAGAAUUGAAAGCAAUUGGAGAAGCCCUUCUCAAGAAUGAGUAAUUGUAAUUUGGAGAUUAAUGAGUGCUUAAUACUUUGUUGAUGCACUCUUAAUAAUUGCAACUAGUAUAUGUAAAGACCCUCAAUGGCUAGUAUACAAUCAAGCAUUUAUUGGUUUGCCACUACCUUAUAGGUUUUUAGUUGAGCAUAUAUAGUAUAAUAUAGGUUUUCAGUGCAAGCUAGUCUAUAUAGUAUACUAUAAAACUCACAUUUCUCUACUUUUUAAUGAUUUUGAAAUUUAUUAGGUACAUUAGGUGUUUUUGGUUGAAUGUAGAUACUGGUUAAUUAAAUCCCAAUGCAAGGAUACUUACCCUUCUUUACUCAUAUAGUUUUUUAGUGGAUAUUUUUUAAGGGAAUUAAUUUGAAUAUUUGUUAGAUGUUUUGAAGGUUGAAUGCAAGGGGGAAAGAAAUAACUAAGGGAGACUACGAAGUCCUAAAGUUAUCAUACAAUAUGGCCCUAAAGUUUGGAUAGGGGGAGACUAAUCAAAAACCCUAAUGUUGACAUGGAUAACCAUCCUAAUGUCCAAUGACUUACCUUGAACAAGGUAAGAUCAAAACCCUAAGGGAACAUGGCAUAAGCAAAAGAAGAGCUAAACACCUCAGAGGCAUGAGAAAAUAUGAGAUAACCAUCUCAAGAGAAAAUAAAUACAAACAAGAAGUAACUACUUCAAGAAUAUUAGAUAACCAUCUCAAAAGAAAUAAAUACACAAACAUGAAAGUAGCCACUUUCAUAGGUAUGAGAUAACCAUCUCAAAAGAAAGAGUACACAAACACACAUACAAGAAAGUAACCACUUUCAAAAGAAAAUGAGAUAACCAUCUCAAAAAGAAAGAGAAACUACUUGAACAAGUAGAGAAGAUAAAGAAGUAACUUCUUAAAGAUAAACAAAACUCACAACUUAAACAAAUAAAGAGAAAAAUGGUUUAAGAAACAAUUUAGGUCAAGACUUGAUAGGAGAAUGUAACUUAUAGAAUAAGUUAUCUCAAUAUCAAAACUCAAUCACAUGAGUAGUCAUAGACCAUAGGCAACAGAAAUGUGAUGUCAUACCAUUGAGGAUUCAUGCAUCCAUAACUAAAUAAAGUAGAAAAAUGACCUCUAAGGAUCAAAAUAAAACAAACGGGGCAGUAGCAAAGUCAUCCCAUAUGUAUCAAUCAUGGGAUACCUCUAAAUAGAGGAAUUAGUCCUCAUGACACAAGACUAGCUAGUCAAAAUAUCCAAACAAGCUCUAAGAGGAGUGAACACUUCAAACAAAAGUUUAAAACAAUGCUAACUUAACUAAGCAAACAACACAAACAUAUGCAAUUAAGUGACCACCUAAACAAGCACAAAGUAUAAGGAAAGAUGGUUACCACACAUCAAAACCAAAGCAAAUACGAAAGGCGACACACCAAUCAUAGUAUCAUCCAAUCAAAUGGGAUCAUGUACUCAAGGUGAAAGAAGAAAGUGAGAUGAGAAGAGGAAGUGAGAUUAAGAUUUAAACAUAAGAAAUUGGAUCUCAAACCCCAAAGAGUUUACAUAUAAACAAACUCAAAGAAAGAAAUGAAGUCAAGCGAUUCUCAAGUCACCAAAGGACUAUCCUUGAACAUAUCAUUCUUCAUUUAACAUCCACACACAUACAUGAGAUGUAAAGACUUACUCAAGAUAUAAAGAGAAAGCUUACGUAACCAUGCAAGUAUUAAAGACGGAAAAGCAAACAAUUAGAUGAAUCAAACAUUCAAACAAUGCCUACAACGGUAGGACUUUCAGAUCAAACAUUGCCUAUAACAAUAGGACUUAGAAUCAAACAUUCAAGAGAAAGAAGCUUCAAACACGAAUCAAGCUAAAUGCAACAACCCAUAUACAUCAAACAUAUUGUUUGGCCAACUAUAUGCUUCUAAACAUUGCAACUCUGACAUAAUGCAAAUUAAAGCUCAAGGAAGCUUACCUUCAAAGUGGAAAAUAAAUUCACUAUGCCUCUGAAAAUAAUUGAGAAACCCAUAGAACUUGUUGGGAGCAUAUAAGCAAGCCAGCAUAAUUGGAUGAGAAUUAAAGCUUCGAUGAAAUAGGAAAUCCAAGUCCAUGUGCAAUCCAAGUUAAGGAGUUCAAAUCAAGUCCUCAAGAGAUAAUCCUCAAAAAUCAAUCCAAUGGUCGCAAAUAAACAAGUGAAUUUGAAAAGAUUAGUAACAAUGAUUAACCAUGAAAAGGAAAAUAGGGACUAUACACUAAUCCCAGUUAAAUUACAAAGGAAAAAUUCUAAAAUUAAAUCUAAAUACCAUGUAUUUUUAUGAACAAAAAUAUAGAAAAAAAAAAGUCUAAUUCUAAACAAAAAUUAAAUGUGAGAUCAGGGGGUGUAUGCUAAAACGGGUAUAAAACCAAAUAAUUUCGCAGGCCCAAAGCUGCAGGCCAGCAGAGUUAUUAUUCCAAUAAAAGAAACAAGGGGGUGCAUCCUGGGUCUGGGUGUGUGAAGCAGAAUUCGUGCUAGGCCCAAUAUAUGAGCCGAGUGGGGGUGUGGAGUAGCAAUAUCGUGUGAGGCCCAAUAGAUAUUUCUAAUCCAAUCCAUUAAUCAGACUUAAUCAAAUUAAUUAACCAAAUCAAAUACCAAUCAAAUCAUAAAUUUACAAUUAAAUAAAAUAUUAUAUUAAAAAAAUAAAUAAAUAAAAGGAAUGAGAAAAGGCUUUAGGGUUGUUAUUCAGAUUAGCGUGAAAAUCUUCUUCUUCUUUCAAACGUGGAGGCUCUGUCUCCUCCAUCAUCUCCGAUUCAAAUCAACGGCGGACCUUCCUCUUCCGAUCGACCUUCUCAUCUCACUCCGAUGGCCUCUCUUCUUUCUCUAAUUUUGUCUCCUUCGGUUUCUCUCGAUCUAAGUUAUGGUUUUGAUUAGGGUUUUGAUUUCUCUGUGUUUGAUGUUUGAUUUUCUGGGUAAUGAACAAUGAACAACUAUCUGGUCUUUGGAAAGAUGAUGAACAAUAGUGUUUUAGGGUUUUGGUUCUGCGGCUGGGUUUUGGUGAACGUGAACAGUGAUAUCUGAUUCCUUGGGAAUUAUGCAUUCAAUGCUUAUAUACUGCAGUAUUAGGGUUUUCUCUCUAAUUUGUGUUAACAGGCUGAGAUAUUCUGUAUUUGGGCUUAAGCCAAUUCUGAUAUGUUGAGUUGUGAAACUGUGAUAUGAAUCUUUUACUGUGAUGAAAAUUCUGAGUUUA